This 1610-nucleotide unclassified non-coding RNA is filed under the name Leishmania donovani. RNAcentral's name for it is "gene:LdHU3.04.0430(CDS-product:Phytanoyl-CoA_diox ygenase_(PhyH)_putative)". The record is from RNAcentral. Lineage: Eukaryota; Euglenozoa; Kinetoplastea; Trypanosomatida; Trypanosomatidae.
CCCCACCCCUCGCUCUCCAUUGGUGGUGCCACUGCUGCUCGUGCGUGUGCGCGUUCUUCGACAUGUCACAGUCCCACCCGCCCAUCUCUCCUCCUCGUGCCUCCUCUCGUGCUAUGGGCUCUAUCUUGCGUUGUGAUACAGGGUGCCGGAUACGACAAGAAGAGGUUUACAUUGCGGAGCCGAGACGGCACUUAGCAAGCCCCCCUCCCAGAGGUACAGCACGCGGCUGUUGCGGCGGCUCUUGUUGCCGUGGCGCGCGCCACAGAGAGGGUCCCUUCACUUCCGUUUUGCUCUCCGCCCCGGCAUCAUUCCGUGGCACAGAGGGCGUGAGAAAGCAGGACGGGGGGCCUCCUCGCGCACGUGCGUGUGUGGUGAGCAAAGGGCGAACGACACUCUUGUCCCAUAGUCAUGCGGCGCGCGUUGCACGCGGCGGCGCUGCCGAGCCGCGCGCCUCUCACGCCCCGACGGUACAAGUCGUACGUGCUGAAGUUCUUGCGCGGCCAGUUGCCCCACGAUCUCAAAGACUGUGCGGGUGCGCUCGGGUGCUUGUACGGCACGUUGCCCGACGUGGACGAGUACAGGCAAUUUGUGGUGCCGCUGCAGGUGCUUCAGCAGUACCAUCAGCUGGGAUACGCUAAGCUGCCGCGCCCGGUGCUAGACCCGCCACAGGUGGACAUUCUCGCGGACGAGGUGAACCAGCUCGCCAACAACGUCGAACAUCACCCCAAGUCGGAGCAUCUCUACGCCACCUCGCUCGCCGACUUGACCGGCGGCCCGCUCUUCUAUUGCCAGGGCCAGUGGCGGUGCGCUUGGGGAAUGCACGACCUCGUAUACCUGCCGACGCUUACCGUCGCUGCGUCGCAGGCGCUCGGAAAUCGCCUUGUGCGGCUUUGGUAUGACGAGGUCUUCAUGAAGGAGGCCCGCACUGGCCCGUGUGUUCCGUGGCAGCAGAACUACGUGCGUUGGCAGCAUACGACACCGGUGAACCACGUUAGCAUUAUGAUUGCGCUCGACACCCUCAACAAGGACCGUGGCGCACCUUGUUUGAUUCCCGGCAGCCACCGCUGGCGUGAGGGCCAACUGCUGCCGCCAGUCCCGUACGAUCCCACGCAGAGCGAGGCGCAGCAGCUGAACACGAUUUGGGACAUCACGAACGAUGACGAGCAGGAGAUGCUCGCCGACACGCCGCCCGCCACGGUGGAUCUGCGCCGCGGCGAGGCACUGCUGAUUCAUCCGAAGACGCUCUUCGCGACGCACGGCAACCGCUCCCUUGACGCGGCGCGGUGCUGCUGCGUGCACUACAUGGGCGAGGAAACGUGUGCGGUGCAGGAUGGUCCGUUGCUGCCGCAUACCACCCGCUUCCGUGCCGGCACGCGUGUCAGCGGCCCGUUCUUCCCCGUCGUCUUCGACCCGGCCAUGACGGAGGAUCUCCUGAUGCUAGACAACAAGGCGGACGGCGCCGCCGCUUGAGGGCUCGUGUCUUCGCUGUGUGGUUGGUGCGCUGGGCCGUUCCAGGGCCGAUACUUUUCACCCCGUGGCAUUCUUCAGGGUCGGCGCGCGCGGCACCCCUUCACAAGUCCCCGGAUGCGCGAGAGUAAACGACAAACAAC